Long non-coding RNA from Gossypium arboreum, 523 nucleotides. RefSeq lists it as uncharacterized. Lineage: Eukaryota; Viridiplantae; Streptophyta; Magnoliopsida; Malvales; Malvaceae. The record is from RefSeq and is a predicted model, not a curated record. The transcript is spliced from 2 exons.
UUACACUGUGCCGUUUCAUUAGCAGGUCAUUUAAAACAUUCCUUUUCCUAAAUCUACUUUCUAAACGCAGCCCCCACUUCACCAAAAUUCACAGCCCUAAAAAUCAAUUUGUUUGGGCAUAUUCCAGCAGCCACCGAGUUCACCACUUCAUCAGGUGUUCGAUGGCACUCCAGCGAUGAUUGAUGAUGUCUUUGGACCCUUUCAACUUCGAUUUUCAGCGAAGAGGGCAGAGAUUGACUGAUUUGCAAGGUUCCAUUGUGGCGAUGCUCGUACGGAAGGAGGGGCCGUUCGUGGGUGUGCAGCGAAGUGUUCCAGAAGCUUCACUGUUUGCGGUGCAUGGGAACGACGGCUUAGUGGUCUAGGGUUUCCACUUUCUGAAAAGAGUCAAUGGACUAAGUUUUGGGUUAGGUUUAAUUUAGGUUUGGGCUUUAUUUUAAAAUGAGUUUUUAAAAUUUGGGCUUCAAUUGUAUGUGGGUUUAAUAUAAAUUUGGACUAUGGACAUUUAUUGGAUUUUUAUUUUUAA